Molecule: long non-coding RNA, 129 nt
Organism: Drosophila miranda
Lineage: Eukaryota; Metazoa; Arthropoda; Insecta; Diptera; Drosophilidae
Exons: 3
Source: RefSeq, a predicted model, not a curated record
ACUAUUUCUGAUGAAAUAUAUGAUUCGUCUGAGCCAGUGCACCACGUGGAGGAGAAGCAGGAGCAGGAGGUUCGGGAGGAUCCGGACUUAAACAUGUUUACUGAAGACAUUCUUAGUACUGAAAGUGGA